Molecule: ribosomal RNA, 427 nt
Filed under: uncultured Acidobacteriota bacterium
Lineage: Bacteria; Pseudomonadati; Acidobacteriota
Description: bacterial SSU rRNA
Rfam family: Bacterial small subunit ribosomal RNA
Source: RNAcentral
AACGCGAAGAACCUUACCUGGGCUUGAAGUGCACCGGACCAUCUUUGGAAACAGAGACUUCCCGCAAGGGACUGGUGUAGAGGUGCUGCAUGGCUGUCGUCAGCUCGUGCCGUGAGGUGUUGGGUUAAGUCCCGCAACGAGCGCAACCCUUACUCGUAGUUGCCACCCGCAAGGGGGAACUCUACGAGGACUGCUCCGGAUAACGGAGAGGAAGGUGGGGAUGAGGUCAAGUCAGCAUGGCCUUUAUGUCCAGGGCCACACACGUGUUACAAUGCGUGCUACAAAGCGUCGCAAACCCGCGAGGGGGAGCUAAUCGCAAAAAAGCACGCUCAGUUCGGAUUGCAGUCUGCAACUCGACUGCAUGAAGCUGGAAUCGCUAGUAAUGGCGCAUCAGAACGGCGCCGUGAAUACGUUCCCGGGCCUUGUA